CUACUUUAAUGAUUUAGACCUGAAGAGACUGGGUACCAACGCAGAUGCCGGCAAGCAUUUCGCGGCUGAAGCGUGCAUCGUGCACCGGCAACACAAACAAGAAGGAGCCCAGGGCCUCAAGCGCUGGUCUUCAAGGGGCAUUUCACUCCUGACGGCAAGCACAGGCCAUCCCUGUUGGGAAGACUGAUGUCACAUGCAACAGACAACCUGUGUACCUACAAGAAAAUCAAAAGUUCCUGACACUUCACCUCCUCCAUCCCCACUUCAUCCUCCUCUUCAUACCUGGUCAGGAUAUGGUGCCUACCUUUCCCGAGAGAUUGGUGUACCUGCACAAAGCUUUAACACAGCCCAGAGAAACUAUAGAAGUAAAUGCCAGUCAAGUCUGCCUGAGAAGCAACAAAAUGAAAUUUGCAGCAUCCGGAGAGAGGCAACUGUAGGUGGUGAUUUCCACGGCCCUUCUCAUGCUGCUAGGAAAAGUUAUCCUCUCCACUCCCUGAGCAAAUCUGGUACAUUUACUCAGAAACCCCAAUAUACUCUCACCUAGUUCCCUCCUUCUAUGACAGAAAUCUGAAACAGAUAAUGAAGUCAAGUGUCUUACAUCUGGAGAACGAGACCCAGGACUUGAACCCAAUUCUUAUGCCUUCUCUUCUUGGGUGAAACACAAAGAAUAUCAGGAGCACUCAGGAAAAAGCGCACAGGAAAGGAAGUCCCAAUUGGCUUCUGCUCUGUGAUCUCGUUACAUAAAAGUAUCUUUCUCAAACUUAGAAGCCA
This 771-nucleotide long non-coding RNA is filed under the name Fukomys damarensis (Damara mole-rat). RNAcentral describes it as "lncRNA (ENSFDAG00000022379.1)". The record is from RNAcentral. Lineage: Eukaryota; Metazoa; Chordata; Mammalia; Rodentia; Bathyergidae.